GCCUGGUUAGUACUUGGAUGGGAGACUUCCUGGGAAUACCAGGU
RNAcentral lists this ribosomal RNA (44 nucleotides) under Petromyzon marinus (sea lamprey). Lineage: Eukaryota; Metazoa; Chordata; Hyperoartia; Petromyzontiformes; Petromyzontidae. The record is from RNAcentral.